Lepisosteus oculatus (spotted gar) is the source of this 3688-nucleotide non-coding RNA. The record is from RefSeq and is a predicted model, not a curated record. NCBI's taxonomy places the organism in Eukaryota, Metazoa, Chordata, Actinopteri, Semionotiformes, Lepisosteidae.
UGGAAGAAAGACUUGAGUAUUGAACUAUGGCGACAGCAACUCACUCUGGGACUAGAAUUAAGAAGUGUCCGGACGCUAGACGAUCUGUUACAAUAAGAGUACAAACACAGUUUUGAAGUUCUUGAAACGCCUGCUGCAUGCGAUUCAUCAGCUGUGACUUUUAUUAUCGGUGCGUUAAGUCAAAGUGAAGAAAAGUAGACGACCUAUAAGGAAAAGGUUGAACUAAUCCAGAAAAACAGAUGCUGUAGUUUAUCACCAUGGCAUCAAAUGCUAGCCAUAUGCUUGAAGCAGCCUUGGAGCAAAUGGAUGACAUUAUUGCAGGUUCCAAGGCUGCGGCAGAGUACAACAAUGGCAUGUUCGAUAUGGGCUCGCCAGGGUAUCUGGGAUCAUUGCAGAUUUUACAACUGGUGGAAGAGCUGAAAAUAGCUUUGGAAAUACAGGCGAAUGAAGAAGAGAAAGAGACUAUAAGAAAUCAAAUCCCAGCAGCAACUGCACAGUAUCUCAUGGAAUGGCUGGAAAAAGGUGUGGUAAAUCUUCGCUCCCCAGUGAACAAUGAAACCUAUCAAGAGCGUCUGACUCGUUUAGAAGGUGAUAAGGAAUCACUGGUUCUCCAGGUUAGUGUGCUCACAGACCAGGUGGAGGCUCAAGGAGAGAAGAUACGAGACCUGGAGACUUCACUAGAUGAACACCACCAAAAGCUUAACUCCACUGAAGAAAUGCUGCAACAGGAGUUGCUGAGCAGAACGUCCCUGGAAACUCAGAAAUUGGAUCUUAUGGAUGAAGUUUCAUAUCUGAAACUGAAACUAGUUGGAAUGGAGAAGGAACAGAAUGGCUGUGAGGACAAACAGCACAAAGCUGAGUGUGUAGUAAAUCUGAUUAGUGAGCUACAGGAGCAGAUGUGUAAGUUUCAGCAGGAGAUCAAUACGAGAAUCCAGGAGAAAAAGGCACUGGAAAAUAAUCCUGAUACUAAAGCUAAGGAACCACACCACAGCACAGACACAAACUUAGGCAGCUCAAACACUGAAGACUGCUGUCGCUGUAGAGGAGAGAAUGGCCUGCUGCAGGAACUGAGAGUUCUGCAGAGCAAAGUGGAUGAACUGGAGGGAGAAAAAUGCCAGUAUGAAAAAAAACUGAAAGCAACAAAGCUUUCAAUUUCUUAUUCUCUCCAUGUCUGUUACCAGUCCUUAAUGACCAAGCUCUCUAGCCUGAAACUCACAGUUGAACACAUGCAGGUAGAGAAACAACACUGGGAGGACAAAUGCAGAACUGCUCAGGCAGAAAUAGCAGACCUUCAGCAGUUACUUGCUGCCAAAGAUGCUGAAAUCGAACGCCUGCAGAGUCAACUAAUGUCACGAGUUCCAGUGUCAAAUGACAAUACAGAAAGAGAGGAGAUGUAUAGGAGAAGGCUGAAAGAAAAACAUCAGGAACUACAACGACUGAAAAUAGGCAUGGAUUCCUUGCUAACAGCAAAUGAAGAAAAGGACCGUCGUAUAGAGGAGUUGACAAUUCUUUUAAACCAAUAUAGAAAAAGAAAGGAUGUCAUGGCAGUAACGCAAGGCUCGGGUGAAAGAAUUCUGUCUGGCAGCAGUGAGGAAGAACUCAGUGGGAAUAUGAAAAUUAGAAACCCAGCACAUACGACUCACACAGAAAAGGCCAGAUCAGAGAUGUCUUCCAGGGGCUCCUCACCAAUUCUGGUUUCACCCUCAUCAACACAAAAGGAGCUGGACACCAGCUGCAAAAGUCUGUCUCCAGGGCCAUUACUUUCCCCCAGUGAAGAGAGCUUUGAAAACGGACAGUGGCCUCAACAAAGGAUGUUAUCCAGCAGUUUAGAAGAAUUGCAAAGUGGAUCAUUACAAAAGCAUGUAGUUGAGGAACCAGUAGAACCUGUUGUUUCAACAGAGAAUCGACAACAUUUAGAAAGUAACAAAUACCAGACUUUACCAGGGAAGCUGUAUCGUUCCAACCAAAAUGGAGACAAAGAGAAAUAUAUGUCAUCAGAUAGUCAGAAGUCAGAAGAGGAUGCAGCAGGCAAUGAAUUCAACUUAAAUCGCAGCAGGAGUGCCAGUGCUCCAGCUUUAGGAUCUCGUGGGAAACAAGAUCUUUUUGGAAGUGGAAAGACAGAGAAAACCGAGGACACUGCCUUGUCUGAUCUUUCACCCCUGUCGUCUGGCGUCGACUCUGGAGAACAGUCUCCUGUUUCCCCAGAUAGCAAGAAAAAUCCAAAAGGCAUCAAGAAAUUCUGGGGAAAGAUCAGAAGAACCCAGUCUGGCACUCUGCAGGCAGAUGACUUGGAGCCGUCUGAGUUCCGAAGAGGGGGGCUAUGGGCGACAGCUGGGCCUCGGCUAGCCAGGACUAAAGAAACCAGCAGUGCAUUCUGUGACCUGAAUACUCCCUUCUCGAAGUGGACAACAGAGCAGGUGUGCAGCUGGCUGGAGGACUUUGGUCUGGGCCAGUAUGUGAGCCUGGCCAGGCAAUGGGUCAACAAUGGGCAAACCCUCUUAGCUGCAACACCCCAGGAGCUUGAAAAGGAAAUGGGAAUAAAGCACCCCCUGCACAGAAAGAAGUGCCUACUGGCUCUCAGAUCCUUCAGCACAAAACAGACCGAGAAAUCAUCUGAACUGGACCACAUCUGGGUAACACGUUGGCUAGAUGACAUAGGCUUGCCACAGUACAAAGAUCAGUUCAAUGAAGCAAGGGUGGAUGGCAGGAUGCUACAGUACCUGACAGUGAAUGACCUCCUGUUUCUUAAAGUCACAAGCCAGCUCCAUCAUCACAGCAUCAAAUGUGCCAUUCACAUCCUGCAUGUCAACAAUUUCAAUGCUAACUGCCUGAGACGCAGGCCUGCAGAUGAGAAUAAAGUGUGUGUGUGUAUGGCACAGAACAAGAGCUCUCCCUUGGAAGUGAUGCAGUGGUCAAACCAUCGGGUGAUGGAGUGGCUGCGCUCAGUGGACCUGGCAGAGUAUGCGCCCAAUCUGAGAGGUAGUGGAGUUCACGGAGGCCUGAUUAUUCUAGAGCCUCGAUUUAAUUCCGACACCUUAGCAAUGCUGCUGAACAUCCCACCUCAAAAAACUCUUCUGAGGAGACACCUGGCAACAAACUUCAACAUGCUGAUAGGGUCAGAGGCACAGCAAGAGAAGCGAGAAUUUAUGGAGUCCUCCAGCUACACGCCCCUUACCACCACUGCAAAAGUCAGGCCAAAGAAACUUGGAUUUUCAAAUUUUGGGCACUUAAGAAAAAAGAAGCUUGAUGACUCCUCGGAUUAUAUUUGCCCAGUGGACACAGCCCAGCAGUUGCCUGCCUCAAAUGGAGGUCACAGGGGCUUUGGAAGAACCAGGGGACUGAGCCCAAUUUUUGACAGGGACAUGGAGAGACCGGAGCAGAUGGAGGUUACAGAAGGAACAGUACAGCAGAUAGGGGCUUUCUCAGCAGGCAUAAAUAACCUUACAUAUUUGCUAAGCCACGACGACCUGCUGCAGGACUGCAGAUGGGGACAAACAGCAACACUCUGAGAAGAAAGUGCCAGACUAACAUGCCGCUUGACCAGGGAAAACAUCAAUACCUCAACUAUACUGAGAAACUAAGACCAGCAGCUUUUGUAUUCAGAAAGGACUUUGAUGACAGCUGUGUGCUCUUCACUCAGGAUAACGCACAGAGUAUAGGAGCAUUGUGUAUAAAGGAGACAACAAUC